Molecule: ribosomal RNA, 522 nt
Filed under: uncultured archaeon
Lineage: Archaea
Description: bacterial SSU rRNA
Rfam family: Archaeal small subunit ribosomal RNA
Source: RNAcentral
AACACCGGCAGCUCUAGUGGUAGCAAUUUUAUUGGGCCUAAAGCGUCCGUAGCCGGUUUAAUAAGUCUCUGGUGAAAUCCUGCAGCUUAGCUGUGGGAAUUGCUGGAGAUACUAUAGACUGAGAUCGGGAGAGGUUAGAGGUACUCCCAGGGUAGAGGUGAAAUUCUGUAAUCCUGGGAGGACCGCCUGUUGCGAAGGCGUCUAACUGGAACGAUUCUGACGGUGAGGGACGAAAGUUAGGGGCGCGAACCGGAUUAGAUACCCGGGUAGUCCUAACUGUAAACGAUGCGGACUUGGUGUUGGGGUGGCUUUGAGCUGCUCCAGUGCCGAAGGGAAGCUGUUAAGUCCGCCGCCUGGGAAGUACGGUCGCAAGACUGAAACUUAAAGGAAUUGGCGGGGAGCACCACAACGCGUGGAGCCUGCGGUUUAAUUGGAUUCAACGCCGGACAUCUCACCAGAGGCGACAGCUGUAUGAUAGCCAGGUUGAUGACUUUGCUUGACUAGCUGAGAGGAGGUGCAUGG